UACGUAGGGUGCGAGCGUUGUCCGGAAUUAUUGGGCGUAAAGAGCUCGUAGGCGGUUUGUUGCGUCGGCCGUGAAAACCUGCAGCUUAACUGUGGGCCUGCGGCCGAUACGGGCAGACUUGAGUUCGGUAGGGGAGACUGGAAUUCCUGGUGUAGCGGUGAAAUGCGUAGAUAUCUGGAGGAAUACCGGUGGCGAAGGCGGCAUCCUGGACCGGCAUUGACGCUGAUGAGCGAAAGCUAGGGGAGCAAACGGG
This 253-nucleotide ribosomal RNA is filed under the name uncultured bacterium. RNAcentral's name for it is "partial 16S ribosomal RNA". It matches the Rfam family "Bacterial small subunit ribosomal RNA", at positions 524 to 776 of the family's 1533-position model. The record is from RNAcentral.